RNAcentral lists this unclassified non-coding RNA (367 nucleotides) under Hevea brasiliensis (rubber tree). Lineage: Eukaryota; Viridiplantae; Streptophyta; Magnoliopsida; Malpighiales; Euphorbiaceae. The record is from RNAcentral.
UGAGGUGCAUUUUGUUGAGAUGGACCCUUGGGUUGUCUCAGAUGUUCUCCGGCCAAAUUUAGAAUGGACUGGUUUCCUUGAUGCGUCUGUCAUACAUACUGUCCGUGUUGAAAGCUUCUUGGAGCGUGCCGAACAUUUUCUUGGUAAAGAUGGGAGCUUUGAUUAUAUUAGUGUUACACCACCAUACGCUGUUGUUGAUUACAGUAUAUUAAUGGAUCAAAUUUCAAAAUCAUCAAUUGUGGGAGAAAAUACAUUUAUACUGGUGGAGUACCCUUUCAGAACUGACAUGCUGGAUUCAUGUGGUUGCCUUGUUAAGAUAUCUGAUCGGCGGUUUGGUCGAACGCAUUUGGCAAUAUAUGGACCAAAG